UACGGAGGAUGCGAGCGUUAUCCGGAUUUAUUGGGUUUAAAGGGUGCGUAGGCGGGCUUUUAAGUCAGCGGUAAGAAUUCGGGGCUCAACCCCGUCCGGCCGUUGAAACUGGGGGUCUUGAGUGGGCGAGAAGAAGGCGGAAUGCGUGGUGUAGCGGUGAAAUGCAUAGAUAUCACGCAGAACCCCGAUUGCGAAGGCAGCCUUCCGGCGCCCUACUGACGCUGAGGCACGAAAAUGCGGGGAUCGAACAGG
Molecule: ribosomal RNA, 252 nt
Filed under: uncultured bacterium
Lineage: Bacteria
Description: partial 16S ribosomal RNA
Rfam family: Bacterial small subunit ribosomal RNA
Source: RNAcentral